UAGUGGCGGACGGGUGAGUAACGCGUGAGAAUCUGCCUUCAGGAGGGGGAUAACGACUGGAAACGGUCGCUAAUACCCCAUAUGCCUACGGGUGAAAUGUUUUUCGCCUGAAGAUGAGCUCAUAUCCUAUCAGCUAGUUGGUAAGGUAAUGGCUUACCAAGGCUUACGGGUAGCGGGUCUGAGAGGAUGAUCCGCCACACUGGGACUGAGACACUGCCCAGACUCCUACGGGAGGCUGCAGUCGAGAAUCAUUGUCAAUGCACGAAAGUGUGAACAUGCGACGCCGCGUGGAGGAAGACGGCCUUUGGGUUGUAAACUCCUGUCAGCAGGGAGGAAAGGUAGUAUUGCUAACAGUAAUAUUAUUUGACAGUACCUGCAGAGGAAGUCACGGCUAACUCUGUGCCAGCAGCCGCGGUAAUACAGAGGUGGCGAACGUUAUUCGGAUUUACUGGGCGUAAAGGGUCCGCAGGCGGUCUUGUGUGUCAGAUGUGAAAUCCUACGGCUUAACCGUAGAAUUGCAUUUGAAACUGCAAGACUAGAGUAUUGGAGGGGAGAAGGGAACACUUGGUGUAGCGGUGAAAUGCGUAGAUAUCAAGUGGAACACCGGUGGCGAAGGCGCUUCUCUGGACAAAUACUGACGCUCAUGGACGAAAGUUGGGGUAGCGAAAGGGAUUAGAUACCCCUGUAGUCCAAGCCGUAAACGGUGUGCACUAGGCGUGGGAGGCUUUACCCCCUUCCGUGCCUGAGCUAACGCAUUAAGUGCACCGCCUGGGGAGUACGGUCGCAAGAUUAAAACUCAAAGGAAUUGACGGGGACCCGCACAAGCGGUGGAGCAUAUGGCUUAAUUCGAUGCAACGCGAAGAACCUUACCUGGGCUUGACAUAUAGCUGCAUCCGACCCGAAAGGGACGGAGCCUUCGAGGGUGCUAUACAGGUGCUGCAUGGCUGUCGUCAGCUCGUGCCGUGAGGUGUUGGGUUAAGUCCCGCAACGAGCGCAACCCCUGUGUUUAGUUGCAGCACGUAAUGGUGGGAACUCUAAACAGACUGCCUGUGAAAACAGGAGGAAGGUGGGGAUGACGUCAAGUCAGUAUGGUCCUUAUGUCCAGGGCUGCACACGUGCUACAAUGGGAUGUACAGUGGGAAGCCAAGCCGCGAGGUGGAGCAAAUCCUCAAAACAUCCCCCAGUUCGGAUUGUAGUCUGAAACUCGACUACAUGAAGUUGGAAUCGCUAGUAAAGGCGUAUCAGCUACGAUACCUUGAAUACGUUCCCGGGUCUUGUACACACCGCCCG
This 1290-nucleotide ribosomal RNA is filed under the name uncultured prokaryote. RNAcentral describes it as "partial 16S ribosomal RNA". It matches the Rfam family "Bacterial small subunit ribosomal RNA", at positions 93 to 1396 of the family's 1533-position model. The record is from RNAcentral.